AUCCAGCUGACAAGUCCCAAAUAGGACGAAGGACGCAUCCUGGAU
Molecule: non-coding RNA, 45 nt
Filed under: Trichobilharzia regenti
Lineage: Eukaryota; Metazoa; Platyhelminthes; Trematoda; Strigeidida; Schistosomatidae
Source: RNAcentral